GACGAACGCUGGCGGCGUGCUUAACACAUGCAAGUCGAACGAUGAACCCGGAGCUUGCUCCGGUGGAUUAGUGGCGAACGGGUGAGUAACACGCGAGUAACCUGCCCUUGACUCUGGGAUAACUGCGGGAAACUGUAGCUAAUACCGGAUACGACCCUCGGCGGCAUCGCCAGGGGGUGGAAAGAAUUUCGGUCAAGGAUGGACUCGCGGCCUAUCAGCUAGUUGGUGAGGUAACGGCUCACAAAGGCGACGACGGGUAGCCGGCCUGAGAGGGUGACCGGCCACACUGGGACUGAGACACGGCCCAGACUCCUACGGGAGGCAACAGUGGGGAAUAUUGCACAAUGGGCGCAAGCCUGAUGCAGCAACGCCGCGUGAGGGAUGACGGCCUUCGGGUUGUAAACCUCUUUUAGUAGGGAAGAAGCGAAAGUGACGGUACCUGCAGAAAAAGCACCGGCUAACUACGUGCCAGCCGCCGCCGUAA
Molecule: ribosomal RNA, 484 nt
Filed under: uncultured bacterium
Lineage: Bacteria
Description: partial 16S ribosomal RNA
Rfam family: Bacterial small subunit ribosomal RNA
Source: RNAcentral